UAUGAUGAAAAGGUUCAAGUUUGGGGUUGUAUGGGGGAAAUUGAAAGGCAAGUGAAAAGCAUUGAGCUAAAAUGUUGUGAAAAGAAAAAUUCAUGAGAAAAAGAAAAUAAAAGAAGAAAAGCAUGAAGAUGAGCUCAAUGAAAAAGAAAAGGGGAAAAAGUUGGAAAUAAGUGAGAUUGGUGAGAAAGAGAGUUGUGCUUAAGGGUUAAAUAUUAUGAUAGCUCUCUUAACUCAAGGAUUUUGUUUUCCAGAAAAACCAAUUUUCUUGUUAGCCCAACCUCAUUACAAGCUUUGGAAAAGUCCUUUUGAUGGCAUUUGAAUGUAAAAAUGUUGAUUGUUUGAGAUGAAUGACAAUUUUGUUUCAUGUGACUUGUGAAUAAUAGAGAGUUGGAGUGUCA
This 398-nucleotide long non-coding RNA is filed under the name Vigna radiata. RNAcentral describes it as "long non-coding RNA (VRAD_LNC015525)". Lineage: Eukaryota; Viridiplantae; Streptophyta; Magnoliopsida; Fabales; Fabaceae. The record is from RNAcentral.